This 253-nucleotide ribosomal RNA is filed under the name uncultured bacterium. RNAcentral's name for it is "partial 16S ribosomal RNA". It matches the Rfam family "Bacterial small subunit ribosomal RNA", at positions 524 to 776 of the family's 1533-position model. The record is from RNAcentral.
GACGUAGGGCGCGAGCGUUGUCCGGAUUUAUUGGGCGUAAAGAGCUCGUAGGCGGCUUGUCGCGUCGUUCGUGAAAACUUGGGGCUCAACCCCAAGCUUGCGGUCGAUACGGGCAGGCUAGAGUUCGGUAGGGGAGACUGGAAUUCCUGGUGUAGCGGUGAAAUGCGCAGAUAUCAGGAGGAACACCGGUGGCGAAGGCGGGUCUCUGGGCCGAUACUGACGCUGAGGAGCGAAAGCUAGGGGAGCAAACAGG